Molecule: non-coding RNA, 722 nt
Organism: Nicotiana tabacum (common tobacco)
Lineage: Eukaryota; Viridiplantae; Streptophyta; Magnoliopsida; Solanales; Solanaceae
Source: RefSeq, a predicted model, not a curated record
CCAACCCAAUUCUCUAAAUUCAAGUCCAAUUAUCCUUAGCCCAAAACAUUAAGCCAAUACUCAUUCCCAUUUGACCUAACCUAAUUCAUAUUCCCUAAAGAAUAACGCCUAAAUUCCUAAAUCAAGAGGAGGGACCUAGACAGAAACAAGCACGGCAGCCAUUGAUGCUUUUUCUUCGAUUUUCACCAAAAACCAACCGCAACAAUCAAAAAGGAACCAGAGAAAAGAGAACGGUCCUUCACAACCCCCACACUACAAAAAGAAAAAGAAAAAGAAAAGCACACAAAGAAAGGUGAAAAACGGCAAAAGGAUUUGAAAAAAAAAAGGAAACAAAAAGCAAAGUAAAAAAAAAAAGGCAAAAGAAGGACGGCAAAAAAUCAAAAACCAGAAAAGGAAACAAGGCAAAAUGAGGGGAAAGGGACGGUUGAAUCCUAAUUUCAGUUUUCGGGUGUCGUCUCGAGAUUCCGUCCGGGUUCGUGUUUGAGAUUUCUGUCGAUUGGAGUUUCGAUUGUAACUGUGUUCUGUUCUUGUCCGUGCAAUUGUUAGACGAUUUCAUCAAUUAAAAAUUUCAGUUUUCAGGUUCAAUUCUUUCCCUCUUCUAAUGGUGUUGAUUUCUUGUUUUAGGAUAUUUAAAUACUAGUAAUAAAUUUUGAUGCUGGUUUCCAUUCGUGAAAUAUUAUGUACUGCUGAGUUUCCAUCAUGCCUUUGAUUUAACGUAUGAA